AAAAAAGCCUACCCGCACGACCCACACGACCCCAAUCCCGUCUCCACCACGAGCGCGCCGCCACCCCUGCCACACCGUCGCGCGCCGCCGGACUGCCCCUCGCCGUCGCGCGCCGCCGGACUCCCCCUCGCCGUCGCGCGACGACGGACUCCCCCUCGCCGGCGCGCCGCCGGAAUCCACCUCGCCGUCGCGCCGCCGGAACUCGCCUUCACGCCACCGGAACCCAUCCCGCCGUCGCGCCGCCGGAACCCACCCUGCCGUCGCGCAACGGCGUCCCCGGGGCACGAGCGAGUACAGAGGGGGCCGGGACCAGAGGCGGGAUGCGAAAGCUGGAGCGUCGUGCGACACCUUGCGGCGGUCGUGGCCCUCACCGUCGCCUUCCCUCCUCUGUGGCCUGCCUGUGUCGUGGUCGUCGGGACUACUUGCCGUGGACGCGGUGGUUGACAUCUACGGCUAGCCGUGGAUUAGCACCUCGCUGCCUCCACAAAGUAUGGAUGCACCAUCUUCUGCUGCGGAGCGUGUGCUACUCCAGAGUAAUUUGCAAUGUUGUGGCAUAUAUGCUCGGUGGAAGAAGCUUCUGAUUUUGAUUUACAGGUGAUGCUGACAGGUCAAAGCUGUUUUGUUGGCUGCUGGCUUCAUGUGCUGUUAUAGUUCGCUACGGACAGUACAUAAGUUCCCUACAGCUACAAGUUUGGUGUACCAUAAUGUGUCAUGUAUUCAAUUUUGAGGUUUGGUAUUGAUUCAUUGAUCCCCUUUCCUAGGAUUCAUUAUUGGAAAUUGAUCUUGGGCUAUGGAACUAAGAUGAUCUACUCAAUAAGUUUUCUUACCACUAUAUCUUUUUUGUGUACUAAAUCACUGAUUAAUUACUACACUUAGCAAGAAACAAAGCUAGCGUUCGAGGGUGUGGAGGAGGUGAAACACAUGGGUCACCAUCACCCUUUCCCUCUAGAUCUGGUGCGUGUACUUUAACCUGGAUAUUCAGAGACGUCUUGAAAGGAAAACAAUUUGGACAUUAGUUGUAUAUUUGAUGAAGCUAUCUAAUUUGGACUUGAAAUUACAAUGUAAAAUUUCCUUUCAACUACUAAUUCAAUUUACAAAUUUUUGAACUUUACUUCUGCCACCAUAUGCUCCCAGUCAUCCCCGCCGCAUGUACGUCGCUGGUUCAUCCCGAUGCUUGUCAUCCUCAUCGUAACUGCCGUAGUUUGGCACCAGGCUACCUACCGGCGACGUUGCCCCGCAUGCCGUUGCCAGCUACUGCUCCUUACGGUCCGCGAGUACCCGCAUGAUUGGAUGCCUUACAGGCACGCACGCUCCUUCCUGAUCUGAUUUGUUCUCAUGGGAAAUCACUUCCUCGCCAAUUCCUCAAAGUUCGCAAAUAGUUUUUAUUUCAUGGAUUUAUUUUUGGGAACUCCUAAUGUUUUGCAUUGUUUUACAGGGACCAAUAGUUGGAUGGAAAAAAAUAGAGAUUGGCGAUGAAGAGUGAGAGCAGAGAGAUGAGAUAUAAAGAGAUCAGAGAGAGAGAGGCAUUGACUGCUGCACAUUUAGAUAGAUGCAUGGUGCUUCUUGUAUGAUGUAUGCUGUUACUAAUUGAUGCACAUUUAGAUAGAGAACAUACAUGUAGCUUUGCUACUGAUUGCUGCUGUUAUUGCUACAGCCUCAUCAAUCAAUAGUACCUAAUUUAUAUCCAGAUAAUUUGCAUAGGUCAUGAAGGGAAAAAGACGUCACUGAGCCGUUUGUUUCUAAUUGCAAGGUUAAAUAAUUUUGUGUGUUCUAACUCUAUGGGACAAUCUGAAGUUAUUUGGCUCAUCGUCGUGCGACGAGUUUCCGACUUCACCGUGCCUGUACACCAUUGACUUCACUGGAAAUCUGUCUGCACGUACUUCAUCGUCCGCCGGAACUUUGUCUGACCUGAGAACUGGAACUUUUCUGGAUUUUGUAAGGCUUCAGAUAACAACCCGGCAGGGGGAUUCAAUACCAAGAUUUAUGAUUUGGCAUAAGUGAGAUGACAUAUAGGCAUUUCCUACAUAUUGAGGGGUAUGCGUGAUAUCUUUUCUAAGGCCAUGAAAUAUUUUCAGAUAGGGAGAUAGCCUUCCGUGUCGCCGGAGGCCACUGUAGGCUGCACUGAAGGGCACACAGCAGGUAGACGGAUGCGGCGAUCCUGGAUGUGCUUUGCUGCUGUCAUUUUUUAUCAAGGACGCCACUGUCCAAGUCGUUCUUCUGCCUUGGAAGCUUUAGAAUGCUGGCAGCUGAUGGGGAUUAUAAGAACUUAAAUGCCAGAGAAGUCGUGCUCCCCUUUCCGACGACGACUCAGACUUGAAGUCCCUUA
Long non-coding RNA from Triticum aestivum (bread wheat), 2326 nucleotides. RefSeq lists it as uncharacterized. The record is from RefSeq and is a predicted model, not a curated record. The transcript is spliced from 6 exons. NCBI's taxonomy places the organism in Eukaryota, Viridiplantae, Streptophyta, Magnoliopsida, Poales, Poaceae.